This 119-nucleotide ribosomal RNA is filed under the name Pteropus alecto (black flying fox). Lineage: Eukaryota; Metazoa; Chordata; Mammalia; Chiroptera; Pteropodidae. The record is from RNAcentral.
GUCUAUGACCAUGCCACCCUGAACAAGCCCAAUACCGUCUGAUCUCGGAAGCUAAGCAGGGUCGGGCCUGGUUAGUACUUGGAUGGGAGACCACCUAGGAAGACCAGGUGCUGUAGGCA